Molecule: microRNA precursor, 98 nt
Filed under: Marmota monax (woodchuck)
Lineage: Eukaryota; Metazoa; Chordata; Mammalia; Rodentia; Sciuridae
Source: RNAcentral
AGUGGGAUAACUGGGUCAAAUGGUGGUUUCAGAUUUUCUGAGGAAUCUCCAUACUGCUUUCCAGAGUGGUUGCAGCAAUUUGCAGUCCCACCAGGAAU